RNAcentral lists this ribosomal RNA (244 nucleotides) under uncultured bacterium. RNAcentral's name for it is "partial 16S ribosomal RNA". It matches the Rfam family "Bacterial small subunit ribosomal RNA", at positions 96 to 334 of the family's 1533-position model. The record is from RNAcentral.
CGGCGAACGGGUGAGUAACACGUGGGUAAUCAACCCUCGAUACUGGGAUAGCCCGGGGAAACCCGGAUUAAUACCGGAUGGCCCUUUGGAUCCUCGGAUCUGAAGGAAAAGGUAGCUUCGGCCUCCGAUCGAGGACGAGCCCGCGGCGGAUUAGCUUGUUGGUGAGGUAACGGCCCACCAAGGCGACGAUCCGUAGCUGGUCUGAGAGGACGAUCAGCCACACUGGGACUGAGACACGGCCCAG